AUCUGCCUAUUAGUGGGGGACAACAUUUCGAAAGGAAUGCUAAUACCGCAUACGUCCUACGGGAGAAAGCAGGGGAUCUUCGGACCUUGCGCUAAUAGAUGAGCCUAAGUCGGAUUAGCUAGUUGGUGGGGUAAAGGCCUACCAAGGCGACGAUCUGUAGCGGGUCUGAGAGGAUGAUCCGCCACACUGGGACUGAGACACGGCCCAGACUCCUACGGGAGGCAGCAGUGGGGAAUAUUGGACAAUGGGCGCAAGCCUGAUCCAGCCAUGCCGCGUGUGUGAAGAAGGCCUUAUGGUUGUAAAGCACUUUAAGCGAGGAGGAGGCUACUUUAGUUAAUACCCUAGAGAUAGUGGACGUUACUCGCAGAAUAAGCACCGGCUAACUCUGUGCCAGCAGCCGCGGUAAUACAGAGGGUGCAAGCGUUAAUCGGAUUUACUGGGCGUAAAGCGCGCGUAGGCGGCUAAUUAAGUCAAAUGUGAAAUCCCCGAGCUUAACUUGGGAAUUGCAUUCGAUACUGGUUAGCUAGAGUGUGGGAGAGGAUGGUAGAAUUCCAGGUGUAGCGGUGAAAUGCGUAGAGAUCUGGAGGAAUACCGAUGGCGAAGGCAGCCAUCUGGCCUAACACUGACGCUGAGGUGCGAAAGCAUGGGGAGCAAACAGGAUUAGAUACCCUGGUAGUCCAUGCCGUAAACGAUGUCUACUAGCCGUUGGGGCCUUUGAGGCUUUAGUGGCGCAGCUAACGCGAUAAGUAGACCGCCUGGGGGAGUACGGUCGCAAGACUAAAACUCAAAUGAAUUGACGGGGGGCCCGCACAAGCGGUGGAGCAUGUUGGUUUAAUUCGAUGCAACGCAGAAGAACCUUUACCUGGCCUUGACAUAGUAAGAACUUUCCAGAGAUGGAUUGGGUGCGUUCGGGAACUUAACAUACAGGUGCUGCAUGGCUGUCGUCAGCUCGUGUCGUGAGAUGUUGGGUUAAGUCCCGCAACGAGCGCAACCCUUUUCCUUAUUUGCCAGCGAGUAAUGUCGGGAACUUUAAGGAUACUGCCAGUGACAAACUGGAGGAAGGCGGGGACGACGUCAAGUCAUCAUGGCCCUUACGGCCAGGGCUACACACGUGCUACAAUGGUCGGUACAAAGGGUUGCUACCUAGCGAUAGGAUGCUAAUCUCAAAAAGCCGAUCGUAGUCCGGAUUGGAGUCUGCAACUCGACUCCAUGAAGUCGGAAUCGCUAGUAAUCGCGGAUCAGAAUGCCGCGGUGAAUACGUUCCCGGGCCUUGUACACAC
RNAcentral lists this ribosomal RNA (1280 nucleotides) under Acinetobacter sp. 92. RNAcentral's name for it is "bacterial SSU rRNA". It matches the Rfam family "Bacterial small subunit ribosomal RNA", at positions 124 to 1390 of the family's 1533-position model. Lineage: Bacteria; Pseudomonadati; Pseudomonadota; Gammaproteobacteria; Moraxellales; Moraxellaceae. The record is from RNAcentral.